This 253-nucleotide ribosomal RNA is filed under the name uncultured bacterium. Its description in RNAcentral is "partial 16S ribosomal RNA". It matches the Rfam family "Bacterial small subunit ribosomal RNA", at positions 524 to 776 of the family's 1533-position model. The record is from RNAcentral.
UACGGAGGGUGCAAGCGUUAUCCGGAUUUACUGGGUUUAAAGGGAGCGCAGGCGGGCUGGUAAGUCAGUGGUGAAAGCCUUGAGCUUAACUCGAGAACUGCCAUUGAUACUAUCAGUCUUGAAUAUUGUUGAGGUUUGCGGAAUAAGUCAUGUAGCGGUGAAAUGCAUAGAUAUGACUUAGAACACCAAUUGCGAAGGCAGCUUGCUAAACAAACAUUGACGCUGAGGCACGAAAGCGUGGGGAGCGAACAGG